This 375-nucleotide ribosomal RNA is filed under the name Triticum aestivum (bread wheat). Its description in RNAcentral is "partial small subunit ribosomal RNA". The record is from RNAcentral. Lineage: Eukaryota; Viridiplantae; Streptophyta; Magnoliopsida; Poales; Poaceae.
AUGUAUGGUGAGCCAGUUUGGAGACAUAAGCAUCGUACAUGGAAACAUUUCCGUGAUCUACAUGCCAAGGGUAAUCUGCCUUGGGUUGUGAUAGGGGAUUUAAAUGAGAUUUUGUAUUCAUCAGAGAAAGAGGGAGGUAAUGCGAGACCCUUAUCAUAUAUGUCCGUGUUUAGGGAUUGUUUGACUGAUUGUUCGCUAGAAGACCUUGGUUAUAUUGGCAACAAAUUCACUUGGAAGAGGGGGAGAAUCAGAGAGAGACUGGAUAGAGCUGUGGGGAACAUGGCAUGGGCUGGUAUGUUUCCUGAUGCAGUUGUGCACCACCUUAUUAUGGGUGGUUCGGAUCACAGGCCGAUUAUGAUUGACACAUCUACGUAU